This 33-nucleotide non-coding RNA is filed under the name Trichobilharzia regenti. Lineage: Eukaryota; Metazoa; Platyhelminthes; Trematoda; Strigeidida; Schistosomatidae. The record is from RNAcentral.
AGUCCCAAACAGGACGAAAUGCGCAUCUUGGAU